CAUUGUGUGUCUUCUCUGCCAAUGGCAGAAGUCUUUAGCCAGUCUUAUCCCAAAUGAGGGUUGUGUUAAUUUACACAUUAGUGUGAGCUGGUGGAAGUGGCUGAACUGAAUCUGUCCAGCAAGACUUGAGGAUACGCAAAUGGAGAGAAGAAAGGAAGAGGAGGAAGAAGAGGAGGCAUAACAAAAAACCAAAGGGUUUUGAACUCGAACAUACAGUCUCGAAGUCUUGGCCUGAAAAUUUUUAAGUGCAGAAGGGUUUUUACUGCCUAACACAUGUUUUAUGAAGUAAGUAUAGU
Molecule: long non-coding RNA, 296 nt
Filed under: Serinus canaria (Common canary)
Lineage: Eukaryota; Metazoa; Chordata; Aves; Passeriformes; Fringillidae
Description: lncRNA (ENSSCAG00000012428.1)
Source: RNAcentral